GGGUGAGUAACGCGUGGAUAACCUGCCUUGUACAGGGGGAUAACACCUGGAAACAGGUGCUAAGACCGCAUAAGCGCACGGUCCCGCAUGGGACAGUGUGAAAAACUCCGGUGGUACAAGAUGGAUCCGCGUCUGAUUAGCCAGUUGGCGGGGUAACGGCCCACCAAAGCGACGAUCAGUAGCCGGCCUGAGAGGGUGAACGGCCACAUUGGGACUGAGACACGGCCCAAACUCCUACGGGAGGCAGCAGUGGGGAAUAUUGCACAAUGGGGGAAACCCUGAUGCAGCAACGCCGCGUGAGUGAAGAAGUAAUUCGUUAUGUAAAGCUCUAUCAGCAGGGUAGAAAAUGACGGUACCUGAGUAAGCAGCCCCGGCUAACUACGUGCCAGCAGCCGCGGUAAUACGUAGGGGGCAAGCGUUAUCCGGAUUUACUGGGUGUAAAGGGAGCGUAGACGGUAAAGCAAGUCUGAAGUGAAAUGCCAGUGCUCAACACUGGAACUGCUUUGGAAACUGUUUGGCUGGAGUGCAGGAGAGGUAAGUGGAAUUCCUAGUGUAGCGGUGAAAUGCGUAGAUAUUAGGAGGAACACCAGUGGCGAAGGCGGCUUACUGGACUGUAACUGACGUUGAGGCUCGAAAGCGUGGGGAGCAAACAGGAUUAGAUACCCUGGUAGUCCACGCGGUAAACGAC
This 688-nucleotide ribosomal RNA is filed under the name uncultured bacterium. RNAcentral's name for it is "bacterial SSU rRNA". It matches the Rfam family "Bacterial small subunit ribosomal RNA", at positions 104 to 810 of the family's 1533-position model. The record is from RNAcentral.